AGUGAACGCUGGCGGUAGGCCUAACACAUGCAAGUCGAACGGCAGCACAGUAAGAGCUUGCUCUUACGGGUGGCGAGUGGCGGACGGGUGAGGAAUACAUCGGAAUCUACUUUUUCGUGGGGGAUAACGUAGGGAAACUUACGCUAAUACCGCAUACGACCUACGGGUGAAAGCAGUGGAUCUUCGGACCUUGCGCGAUUGAAUGAGCCGAUGUCGGAUUAGCUAGUUGGCGGGGUAAAGGCCCACCAAGGCGACGAUCCGUAGCUGGUCUGAGAGGAUGAUCGGCCACACUGGAACUGAGACACGGUCCAGACUCCUACGGGAGGCAGCAGUAGGGAAUAUUGGACAAUGGGCGCAAGCCUGAUCCAGCCAUGCCGCGUGGGUGAAGAAGGCCUUCGGGUUGUAAAGCCCUUUUGUUGGGAAAGAAAAGCAGCAGGUUUAUCCCCGGCUGUUCUGACGGUACCCAAAGAAUAAGCACCGGCUAACUUCGUG
RNAcentral lists this ribosomal RNA (492 nucleotides) under uncultured bacterium. RNAcentral's name for it is "partial 16S ribosomal RNA". It matches the Rfam family "Bacterial small subunit ribosomal RNA", at positions 29 to 507 of the family's 1533-position model. The record is from RNAcentral.